Molecule: ribosomal RNA, 497 nt
Filed under: uncultured bacterium
Lineage: Bacteria
Description: bacterial SSU rRNA
Rfam family: Bacterial small subunit ribosomal RNA
Source: RNAcentral
GGCUCAGGAUGAACGCUAGCUACAGGCUUAACACAUGCAAGUCGAGGGGCAGCAUGAACAUAGCUUGCUAUGUUUGAUGGCGACCGGCGCACGGGUGCGUAACACGUAUCCAAUCUGCCCGUUACUCGGGGAUAGCCUUCUGAAAGGAAGAUUAAUACCCGAUGGCAUGUAUUUCCGGCAUCGGAGAUACAUUAAAGAUUUAUCGGUAACGGAUGAGGAUGCGUACGAUUAGCUGGUUGGCGGGGUAACGGCCCACCAAGGCGACGAUCGUUAGGGGUUCUGAGAGGAAGGUCCCCCACACUGGAACUGAGACACGGUCCAGACUCCUACGGGAGGCAGCAGUGAGGAAUAUUGGUCAAUGGGCGAGAGCCUGAACCAGCCAAGUAGCGUGAAGGAAGACUGCCCUAUGGGUUGUAAACUUCUUUUGUUCGGGAAUAAAGUGCAGUACGCGUACUGUUUUGUAUGUACCGUUCGAAUAAGCAUCGGCUAAUUCCGUG